RNAcentral lists this ribosomal RNA (253 nucleotides) under uncultured bacterium. RNAcentral describes it as "partial 16S ribosomal RNA". It matches the Rfam family "Bacterial small subunit ribosomal RNA", at positions 524 to 776 of the family's 1533-position model. The record is from RNAcentral.
UACGUAGGUGGCAAGCGUUGUCCGGAUUUAUUGGGUUUAAAGGGUGCGUAGGCGGCCCUGUAAGUCAGCGGUGAAAUACGGCAGCUCAACUGUCGAGGUGCCGUUGAUACUGCGGGGCUUGAGUGUUGAUGAGGCAGGCGGAAUUGACGGUGUAGCGGUGAAAUGCUUAGAUAUCGUCAAGAACACCGAUAGCGAAGGCAGCCUGCCAAGCAACAACUGACGCUGAGGCACGAAAGUGCGGGGAUCAAACAGG